Long non-coding RNA from Gadus macrocephalus (Pacific cod), 906 nucleotides. RefSeq lists it as uncharacterized. The transcript has 2 exons. NCBI's taxonomy places the organism in Eukaryota, Metazoa, Chordata, Actinopteri, Gadiformes, Gadidae. The record is from RefSeq and is a predicted model, not a curated record.
UUUAGAGGCGCCUUUCAAGACACCCAAGGUCACCUUACAGAGCAUAUAGUCAUCAUACAUUUUUUUAAAAACAAGACAUUGUGGAAAAAAAUAAAUAAAUAAAUAAAUUAACAUAAGCAAUAAUAAAUAAAUAAAACAAAAACAAGACAAAAAAAAACAAAACAAAAAAAAACAAUCAAAACAGUGAUCAGUUAGACGUUGUGAGCGAGUUUGAACAGGUGAGUUUUGAGUUGUGACUUGAAGGUUGUAAUGGUGUCUGACUGUUUUAUGUGUGGGGGGAGGGAGUUCCAGAGCCUGGGUGCUGAACAGCUGAAUGACCGGGCACCCAUUGUAGUGAGUCGUGAUGUGGGGAUACAUAGUAGUCCAGCAGAGGUUGAGCGGAGGGAGCGGGAGGGAGUGUAUUCUUGGAGGAGGUCGCAGAGAUAACUGGGGGCUAGGUUGUGGAGAGCUUUGUAGGUGAGGAGUAGGGUUUUGUAUUGGAUACGGUAGUGUACUGGGAGCCAGUGAAGUUGAAUGAGGACAGGGGUGAUGUGGUCAGAUGAUUUGGUGCGGGUGAUGAUCCGGGCGGCUGAGUUCUGAAUGAUCUGCAGUCUGUUGAUGAGUUUGGUGGGGAGUCCGGUGAGGAGGGCGUUGCAGUAUGGAGCUGGGGUGUGUUGUGAUUUAGUGAGGGUGGAUUUGGAUCCGAUGAGCAGGGCCUCGGUCUUGUUUCCAUUGAGUUUCAGGAAGUUCCUGCUCAACCAGCUCCGGAUCUCUUCCAGGCACGUGAUGAGGGAGGUGGGGGGGAUGGCAGCGGUGGGUUUGGUGGAGAUGUAGACCUGUGUGUCGUCAGCGUAGCAGUGAAAAUGGACCCCAUGGUGACGGAGGAGUGUGCCCAGCGGGAGGAGGUAAGUGGUGAAGAGGAGUGGA